CAAAUGCGAUAAGCAAUGCGAAUUGCAGAAUUCCGCGAGUCAUCAGAUCUUUGAACGCAAGUGGCGCUGGGAUAACCAAUACCCCAGCAUGUUUGUUUCAGUGUGUUAGGAAUCAUAAAUCAUAAUGCGAUUGAGUAUUUAUUUAAUACAUUCUCUCUCGUUAAACAUGAAAGCGCUGAAUUCGUUUCAGUGCCAACCGAAGUAGUCACUUCUUUUCUUUAGAAAGUGAUCGCGGUUGUGCUAUAACUGAAGAUUUCACUUAAAGCGUCUAUAUUUUAUACAUAAUUUCUACCAUCAACACCUGAAAUCAAGCAAGAUCACCCGCUGAACUUAA
Molecule: unclassified non-coding RNA, 334 nt
Filed under: uncultured Ophiostomataceae
Lineage: Eukaryota; Fungi; Ascomycota; Sordariomycetes; Ophiostomatales
Description: sequence contains ITS1
Rfam family: 5.8S ribosomal RNA (bases 1-106)
Source: RNAcentral